AAGCUGAAAGUGCAUGCAUUCAAAAUAUGCAAGAUAUAUCGCAGCUAAAGUAUGGCAGUGCUUCUAAUUUGAGCAAUACAUAUAUUGAAAUGCUUGAAGAUUGUGAUAGAUUGGACAAUGAAUCUGUUGUGCAUAUUGGGUCAACCUCUUAUGAAGUGAUAAAUCCUUUCAUGUUAAACAGCUAUUUUGAUUAUGGGAUAGAACAAAUUGAAAUUGUUUUUGUUCCUAGAAUCACCAGUACCACUUCUCUUGAGGAAAAGAGAGGAGACAAUCUGUGGGUUCUCUUAAAGCAUCAGCUCAAUAGGAGUCAUCAACCAUGCAGAAGAUGUUGAAGUGCCAUUGGUUUUGCAUUGAAACUUGCUCUUUCAACUCAGAAAAUCCAGAAAGAAAGCAUGGACUAUCUAGCUUCAUUUAGGGUUGAGCUAAAAGAUAAUUAUUGUUUAUGUACUCUGAUAAACUGAAAACACAUAUUGAUAAUAAAAAUACCUGCAGCAAAGCGCGGGCUAUCUAUCUAGUGAGGUUGAACAGUCAGUUGGGGUCAGGGACUUGCUUUGCACCUUUGACAAUUGGCCCAACUGCAACGUUGGAAGUUCUAACAGAAAAGAUGAUGGUAUGAAGCACUUUGGAUUGGAACUGUCUUUAAGAAGUUCGGAUGGUUCACACAAGGAAGUGACUGAGGAGAGGCCUGCACUGAAACAUUCUGAUGCCUCUACCUUUUCACGGAGGCAAGAGCUGUCAAGAAGAGAAAACAAGAAGAGUAUACAGAACAUAUAAGGGGUUAUAUGGCUGAGGGUUUAGCAAUAUGUCUAUCAAGGAGAUCAAGGGCAUGGAGACCAAACUUGAGAAAGCAAUUAGCAGAAUUAGAUCCAAGAAGGAUUGGAAGAUAUGUUCUCUUAAAAGAAAAGCAGUUACUCAAAGCUUAGUUGUGCAUAAAAAUAGAAGGGCAAAGGAGGCAUGGUGAAAAAGAAAAGGAGAGGAGAGAGGGAAAAGAAAGACGGGACGACAGGGAUUUUAACCAUGAUGGCAGAAGGGACUUCAACAUGCAGCGUUUUCCACACAAAUGGAAAUCCACUCGUAGAAGUGAAGACGUACUUAGCUGCUGACCAAUUGCAUCAAGGUGGGGAAGACAAUGAAAGCCUGGGUGAACAUCUCAUUUCAUCUUCUCAUGACGAUAAAAAUUUUGCAAAAAGUGAGAAUUGUGAUGUUUUUGUGCAAAGGAGCAAUUUUAUGAAAACUUCAUUUGUUUUCUGGAUGUGUUAGUGUGCACAACCAAGUAGCUAAAACU
Long non-coding RNA from Rosa chinensis, 1285 nucleotides. RefSeq lists it as uncharacterized. The transcript has 7 exons. Lineage: Eukaryota; Viridiplantae; Streptophyta; Magnoliopsida; Rosales; Rosaceae. The record is from RefSeq and is a predicted model, not a curated record.